Non-coding RNA from Centropristis striata (black sea bass), 900 nucleotides. Lineage: Eukaryota; Metazoa; Chordata; Actinopteri; Perciformes; Serranidae. The record is from the annotation of a RefSeq genome assembly.
UCUGUACGAUGAUUCUCUCUGUGCUGAUGUGCAUGAGAGGCUUCUUAAAGGGAAGUGAAACAAUGUGUGAGUGAGUGACUGGUGGAGCAGAAAAACCAUCUGACAGAAACUCCUUAAAGGAGAAAAUCAACUCUCACACAGGAAAGGUGUCCAAGUGUCUGCUGCUUGAUUGACAGUUGUGUGGUCCCGCUGUCCUCUAAUCUGAUUGGUGUCUCCUAGGUGAUGCCCGUCCCACCCUGACGGUGCUGCCCCCCUCCAGUGAGCAGCUGCAGCAGGGGGAGGCCACGCUCAUGUGCCUGGCCAACAAGGGCUUCCCCUCAGACUGGAGUCUGUCCUGGAAGGUGGACGGCAGCAGCAGCAGCAGCAGCAGCAUCAGCUGGGAGCAGAGCAGCAGCCCCGGGGUGCUGGAGAAGGACGGCCACUACAGCUGGAGCAGCACCCUGAGGCUCUCUGCAGACCAGUGGAGGAAGGUGGGCUCUGUGACCUGUGAGGCCACCCAGGGCUCCCAGACUCCGCUCUCAGAGACUCUGAGGAGAGACCAGUGUCCCCAGUCCUGACCUGACUCACUGGUUUUACUCUGCUGCUGCUCUCACUCUGCACUCUGUAACUCUCUCUUUCUCACAUGUUCUUGCUUGUGUUGAUGCUUUCAAAUUUUUAAAGAAAUAAAGAUUUGAUUACAUGUAUUAUGAAAAUGUCUUUUUACUCUUCUUCUUUGACAUAUAGAAGAUAUAACAGUCCAGUCCAAAACUGUAAAGUCCAGACUUGUACAUUCAUCUAUUCAAGUAUAGUUUGUUGUUAAUUGUUAGCUAUUAAUUAUUCUGAAGCUCUGAAAUAAAAAAAAUAAAUGAUAGAAAGGAUUCACAAAAUUAGAAAUAAAAGAAGAAUAUCGUCUGCAUAGAG